AUGUCUAAGGGACCUGCAGUAGGCAUUGAUCUUGACACCAACUACACCUGUGUGGGUGUCUUCCAGCAUAGAAAGGUGGAGAUAAUUGCCAACAAUCAGGGGAACUGAACCACACCAAGCUAUGUCACUUUUACUGACACCAAACGAUUGAUCAGUGAUGCUGCAAAGAAUCAGGUUGCGAUGAACCCCACUAACACAGUUUUUGAUGCCAAACGUCUGAUUAGACAUAGAUUUGAUGAUGCUAUUGUCCAGUCAGACAUGAAGCAUUGGCCUUUCACUGUGGUGAAUGAUGUAGGUAGGCCUGAAGUCCAAGUAGAGUACAAAGGGGAGACCAAAGGUUUCUACCCAGAGGAGUUAUCUUCUAUGGUUCCAACAAAGAUGAAGGAAAUCGCAGAAGCCUAUCUUGGGAAGACUGUUACCAAAGCUGUAGUCACAGUGCCACCUUACUUUAACGACUCUCAGUGUCAGACAACAAAAGAUGCUGGAACCAUGGCUGGUCUCAACGAGCCAACUGCUGCCACUAUUGCUUAUGGCUUAGACAAGAAGUUCAGUGCUGAAAGGAAUGUGCUGAUUUUUUAUUUAGGAGAUAGCACUUUUUAUGUGUCAGUCUUUACUAUUGAGGAUGGGAUCUUUAAAGUCAAAUCUACAGCAGGAGACACCCAUUUAGGUAGAGAAGACUUUGACAACCAUUUCAUUGCUGAGUUCAAAUGCAAGCAUAAGAAGGACAUCAGAGAGAACAAGAGAGCUGUCCAUCAUCUGUGUACUGCUUGUGGGCGAGGUAAGCAUACCCUCUCUUCUAACACUCGGAACAGCAUCAAGAUCAAAGAGCUGAAUGCUGACCUGUUUGGUGGCCCUCUGGACCCUGUAGAAAAAGCCCUUCGAGAUCCCAAACUGGACAAGUCAUAGAUCAAUAACAUUGUCCUGUGCUUCUUCAAUGGGAAAGAUCUAAAUAAGAGCAUCGACCCUGAUGAACCUGUUGCUUAUGGUGCCACUGUCCAGGCAGCCAUCCUAUCUGGAGACAAGUCUGAAAAAGUUCAAGAUUUGCUGCUCUUGGAUGUCACUCUUUCCCUGGGUGUAGAAACUGCUGGCGGAGUCAUGACUGUCCUUAUCAAGUGCAAUACUACCAUUCCUACCAAGGAGACACAGACCUUCACCACCUACUCUGAUAACCAGCCUGGUGUGCUCAUUCAGGUGUUUGAAGGUGAGUGAGCCAUGACCAAGGACAACAACCCUGUUGGCAAGUUUGAACUCACAGGCAUCCCUCCUGCACCCAGUGGUGGUCCUCAGAUUGAAGUCACUUUUGAUACUGAUGCAAUGGCGUCCUCAAUAUUUCUGCUGUGGACAGAGUGCAGGAAAAGAGAACACAAUUACCAUCACCGGUGACAAGGGCUGCUUGAGGAAGGAGGACAUUGAGCGGCUGGUCCAGGAAGCAGAGAAGUACACAGCUGGAGAUGAGAAGCAGAGGGGUGAAAUGUCAUCCAAGAAUUUGCUGGAGUCCUUUGCAUUCAACAUGAAAGCAACUGUUGAAGAUGAGAAACUUCAGGGCAAGAUCAAGGAUGAAGAUAAACAGAAGAUUCUGGACAAGUGUAAUGAGAUCAUCAGUUGGCUGGGUCAGUCAGAGAAGGAAGAGUUUGAACAUCUAACAGAAAGAGCUGGAGAAAGUCUGCAACCCCAUCAGUACCAAGCUGUACCAGAGUGCAAGAGGCAUGCCAGGAUGA
Castor canadensis (American beaver) is the source of this 1718-nucleotide non-coding RNA. The record is from RefSeq and is a predicted model, not a curated record. Lineage: Eukaryota; Metazoa; Chordata; Mammalia; Rodentia; Castoridae.